CAUGUGGACUUCUUUUGAGAACUGGAGGCCUGGACCUGACUCAGCCUGAGGCAUGGGAUCCCAGCACCACUUCUCAGGACCCAGAUGUAUAAGUUCUCCUGGAUUUCUUCCAGAUUUAGACAGCAUGAAAGGAGAGGCAAGUCAUGAAGGCUUUGCUGUCAUAGCUUUCCAUGGUAGCCCAUGCUGUGUUUCUGAUGCAGUGUGUACUUUGUCUUUGUUCUCGCUCUCUUUUUCUGUUUACCUGGUCCAAGCUUGCUCUGUAGAACAAGUUUCCCUCCCAUUCUUCAUUUUUGCUUUCUUGAAUAAACUUUGCCACUGCUUUUUGUUCAUUUUGUUCAAUUCUCUGUUGGAGGCAAGAAGAAGCUGGAAUCUGACUCCAGAAGGAGAGGCAAGCAAUCCAGAACCCGGUAACAUUCAGUUGCCAGCUGACUAUGGACUGAAACACAGCCACAAUAAACCUCUCCUUCCUUAGCUUGUGGGUGUUGGGUAUCUUGUGCCAUCACAGAGUAAAGUGGCCAAGACAUCAACACUGUCCAUCGGUAAGUGGCAGCCCAGAACAUAUCAUUCUCUUUUCUAGUAUGAAUAGGUGGGAAAAUGCCCAAAGAAGACCUAAAAAAAGAAUAUUGCAAGAUAAGGGAAAGGAUGCCUUUCCAUUAAAUGUUGAAGUAAGAUUGUAUCUCUGAAAAUAAAUUUUUCCAGGCAAGAGAACAUUUUAGCAGGCAUAUUUUUAGUACCCUCAAUAUGAUCAGGCAGACAGAGCCACUAUGAGAGUGGAACCAGAGGCCAUAAAGAGAACAGACUGGGACAAAGGCAGAUUUGUAAAGGUGGAAAUGAGAAAUAAGGGCAGAUAUACCAAAACUACCAAAGCAGAAUGAAAACAGGUACUGAGGCCAGGAAAGAGAGAGAAGACUCUACUCUAAAGCAGAAGACAAAAUAAGGGGAAAAGAACCAAGGUGAAAAUGCUAACUCAGAAGGCCGUACAGAGCUAAUGUAAAAAUUAUAUUUAUUCCCAAUGAAUAAAGUGAAUAAAAUAGUGGAAAUAAUGCUCGAACAUAUGGUAGGAGACCAUUUUCCUGAGCUGAAGAUCUGAGAUAAAAUUAAAAUUACUAGACUCAUACAGACACAUAUCUCGUAAAAUAUUUUGAAUUUCCAGGUUAAAGAAAGAACCCUUCAGGCAUUUAGACAGAAUUGAGCA
This 1195-nucleotide long non-coding RNA is filed under the name Heterocephalus glaber (naked mole-rat). RNAcentral describes it as "lncRNA (ENSHGLG00100048140.1)". The record is from RNAcentral. Lineage: Eukaryota; Metazoa; Chordata; Mammalia; Rodentia; Bathyergidae.